This is a long non-coding RNA of Nematostella vectensis (starlet sea anemone), 1807 nucleotides long. RefSeq lists it as uncharacterized. NCBI's taxonomy places the organism in Eukaryota, Metazoa, Cnidaria, Anthozoa, Actiniaria, Edwardsiidae. The transcript is spliced from 2 exons. The record is from RefSeq and is a predicted model, not a curated record.
GGGGGGGGCACCGAAAAAAAUGUUCACAAUGAAAGGGGGUCUCUGAAAUUUUAAGGUGUCUUGAGUCAAAAUCUUCCCUCCCCCCCCCCUCGGUGUAAUUAAUGAACACUCCCUUAUUUAGAAAACAGUAAAACCAAUUGCUUUAAAAGAAGUAUGCAAGUAGCCAUGAAUUGUAGGGGGUGGGGAGGGGGUAGCACAGUUAUAGCGGCCAGUUCCUAUGAUUUUUAACAGGGAGGGGAUUUGUUUACCCAUUAAGAAGACUUAUUUCCCUAAUGCAACAUGACCUAAAGUCAUUGUGAGCCUUUUUUUUUAUUAAACAGGACUUCCAAUCCAACAGCCUCUCUCGUCUCGUUCAAACCCUGUAUUCCCCCAUCCCUGUCCCUCCCCUCCCACCAAUACAGUACCUUCCAUUAAUUGCAUAAGAAGAGCUAAUCGCUUUGCUGCCACCAAUUGGUUGUCAUGCACUUUUUUUCAAGUUGCUGUCCUUACAAGAGUUGUCAUUUUAUUGCUCCAGUGCUUUAUAUGGGUGUUUGCUUUUAAUUUAUCAAAACAUGUGCUUGUAAUGAAUAUCCUUUUUAGGAUGAUUGUUCUGUUUCUUAUUUUGUUAUGUUUUUCUAUUCAAAGGGUUGGAGAGAGUGCCAAAAAAGAUGACAGGCUAGAGGGCUCCUGGAGCAUAAACUAAAAGAAAAAAUAAGAGGGCGACAGGACAGGGCGAUGAAAGAGUUGGCUGGGAAGUAUACUUCCCUGCUUACUCGCGUAUACAGGGAUAGGUUAAGGGUUUUUCGUGAUCCGUAAUCGGACACAAAUUUGCGCCGUUAAACAGUGAAAUAUUUGCCGUGAAAAAAAUCUGUAAAACGUGACAACUCCCUCAUAUACUAUGCAAAAAAGCCUUACUGAGGUCGUAAGUGAGUUGUGAUUGUAAUUAGUGCCUAUGGCUAUUUUUUUGCCAUUUUCAAAAUGAUAUUAUCUGUUCUUCGAAAUCGCGAAUAAAUUGGUCUGUGAUUCGUGAUUACACUACCCACCUCCCCCUUCAGCUUCCUGUAUAUAGCCUCCCCUGUUCUGGGGUCGGUUGUUUUCUUUUUCUUUAAUAUUUGUUAUCAAAAAUAAAAGUAUUACACAUUGAAAUGCGCUUUUGGUUAUCUGCUACCGACGAUUAUGGGAGAUGGGAGAUCCUGUGUGUAUCAUAUUUCUCUAACAUUAUCAACAUAAAUUAUACUUAUAACUAAAUAGCACAAUUUAUUUCUUUUCAUGGUAUAAGCAAAUAUUUAUUUGAUAUCGCAUAAGCGAUUCAGGGGAAAUGUCUUUCUGAUUCUCUGUUGAAAAUUCCUUUUGAGAGAUGUCGGGAUUUUUGUUAAAUUCCUUUCGAUUUGUGUUACAAAGUUCUCAGAAUUUCUUAAGAAUUCUUAAGAAUUGUUGAGAAUUGUUAAGAAUUCCCGAAAAUUUCCAGCGCUGCGCUCACGUACUGUUCAAAAUUCUUGAGAAUUCUUAAGAAUUCUUGAGAAUGGGCAAGAAUUCGUUGCCCAUUUAACGCGAAAGAAUUUAUGGAAUGUUGUUGGGAAUUGUUGAGAAUUCUCGACUUUUUUUCGCAAGAAUUCUUAAGAAUUCGCGCGUUUAUUUCGGCAUAGCUAUGCGACUUGGUUUUGUGGUCAUCGCGCGGUUACCCUGUGGUGUCACUCGCCAGUCAGUCGCGCAACUCCCAGGCCCCACUCGGGGCCACCGUCACACGUGACUAACCUUUGUAACCAGGUUAGUCACCAACCUGACAUGCGUUAGACCCAGUUCUUUGGGAAGUCGCAGUCGGAACUAG